This 469-nucleotide ribosomal RNA is filed under the name Abiotrophia defectiva. Its description in RNAcentral is "bacterial SSU rRNA". It matches the Rfam family "Bacterial small subunit ribosomal RNA", at positions 28 to 474 of the family's 1533-position model. Lineage: Bacteria; Bacillati; Bacillota; Bacilli; Lactobacillales; Aerococcaceae. The record is from RNAcentral.
GACGAACGCUGGCGGCGUGCCUAAUACAUGCAAGUCGAACGAACCGCGACUAGGUGCUUGCACUUGGUCAAGGUGAGUGGCGAACGGGUGAGUAACACGUGGGUAACCUACCUCAUAGUGGGGGAUAACAGUCGGAAACGACUGCUAAUACCGCAUAGGACAUAGGAUCACAUGAUCCAGUGAGGAAAGGUGGCGCAAGCUAUCGCUAAGAGAUGGACCCGCGGUGCAUUAGCUAGUUGGUAGGGUAAAGGCCUACCAAGGCGAUGAUGCAUAGCCGACCUGAGAGGGUGAUCGGCCACAUUGGGACUGAGACACGGCCCAAACUCCUACGGGAGGCAGCAGUAGGGAAUCUUCCGCAAUGGACGCAAGUCUGACGGAGCAACGCCGCGUGAGCGAAGAAGGUCUUCGGAUCGUAAAGCUCUGUUGUUAGAGAAGAACAGCGCAUAGAGUAACUGCUAUGCGUGUGACG